Molecule: ribosomal RNA, 253 nt
Filed under: uncultured bacterium
Lineage: Bacteria
Description: partial 16S ribosomal RNA
Rfam family: Bacterial small subunit ribosomal RNA
Source: RNAcentral
UACGAAGGGGGCUAGCGUUGCUCGGAAUCACUGGGCGUAAAGGGUGCGUAGGCGGGGCUUUAAGUCAGGGGUGAAAUCCUGGAGCUCAACUCCAGAACUGCCUUUGAUACUGAAGAUCUUGAGUUCGGGAGAGGUGAGUGGAACUGCGAGUGUAGAGGUGAAAUUCGUAGAUAUUCGCAAGAACACCAGUUGCGAAGGCGGCUGACUGGACACAUAUUGACGCUGAGGCUCGAAAGCAUGGGGAGCAAACAGG